Molecule: long non-coding RNA, 417 nt
Filed under: Lynx pardinus (Iberian lynx)
Lineage: Eukaryota; Metazoa; Chordata; Mammalia; Carnivora; Felidae
Source: RNAcentral
GGAAAUAGUCAUAACCCAGGCCAAAGCCUGAAAAACUCCCAAGAGCAUUGCUGGUCAGCUGCACAGCAAGACCAUGUUACUACUUGCAUGGCAAGUGCAGGUAAUUCAUUCUCAUGACAAUGUCAAGACAGAAGGGCUAAAAUGAAAACAGUAGUGAGUGAUGUGUCACUGCUUGACCUUUUUCACUGGGGAAAUGUGAAUAUAAGAGAAAGUAAUUUAAACAGAAGUAAAAUAGGGCUACCUUUACUUUGUGAAAAUCCCUGAAGCCCCUUGUCAUUCUUCUAGUACCACACAACUCUCAUUUGUGCCCUAGACCAAAGUUAUUUGGGAUGGCUAAACUAGGGCCAAAUUUUUUAAAAAACAAAACAAAACCUAGAAAACAGGAAAACAGUGAAGGAACCGUGGCCUCAAUAUUAC